GAAAAAAGAAAUAAAGGAGAGAAAUAAAGAAACAAAGCAAACGAAACAGAAAGCAGGGGAAGGAAAGAAAGAAAAAGAGAAAAGAAAGAAAAAAAAGGGAAAAUCGAAGAUGUGAAGCUUGGAAGUUUAAUAGGUAAGUCAAUUGAGCCCUUUUUACUUAAUUUUGAUAUUUUAGAAGCUUUGGACAAGAUUUUGAUGAAAUUAAGUUGAUAUUUUGAAAAGAUAUUAGAUUUUUAGAUACUGUUCAUGUUGAGUAAAAUGAUGAAAUAAGGGUUAAAUUGAUAGAAAUUCAAGUUAGAAAUGAAAUAAGGAUUGAAUUGUAAAGUAAUUCAUAAGUUUUAUGUUGAAGGGCUAAUUUGAGGAAAUUUUGAAACUAGUUAAAUAAGCUAAAAAUUUAGGAGUUAAAUUUGAGUUGGGAUGGAACUUGAAUAGAAAUAGAGUAUGAAUUAAGUUAGUAAAAUUAAUGGAAAUUGAUUUUAGGACAUAAUUGUGAAAAUGUUGGAAUUAAAGUCUAGUGCUGAAAUUAUAAUUUCCAAAAGUUGUAAAGUAGUUUAAAGUGAUAGAAUAAAGUGUUAAUUGAGAAAAAUCAGCUCAAUUGAGAGGCUAAUUGAGUAGGGACAAAAUUGUUAUUUAUUAAAGCUUAAGGGAAAAAUGGUAAUAAACAACUUGCACUAAAACAAUAUUGGACAGCAGCAGUAGACUAACUUUGAAAAAUCACCAUAAAUUGUAUAAAUCGAAUUAGAAGAUGAAAAAAAUAUGAAAUUAAAGCUUAUUGAGUCUAGUUGCUCAUAGAAGAAACGGUGUAAGCAAUAGAUUUGUAAAUCAUGAGAUAUAAUAAAUUUUGUGAUACAACAUCAGAAUGAUUUCGGGUUCCCCUGUUUUGACCUUGAAAAAUCAUAAAAAAAUUGGAUAAUCAUAAUUAUGGGCUUAAAUUUAUAUUUUUAGAAUCUUGAAUGAGUCUAGUUUUAAUAUAAAUAAACGGGAACAUCAUUCGAAUUCUGUACGAGAACAUAAUUAAUUUUUAGUGAAGAAGGGUCACAACUGUCAGACAGGAGAAUAGGGGUAAUUUUAAAGAAUAAACUGUACUUAUUGGCUAAACCAAAAAUUCUGAAAAUUUUAUGGUAAGAAGAUAUAUGAGUCUAGUUUCAGGAAAAAUUAUCUGAUCUUAAUUUAGAGUUCUAGAGCUCCAGAUAUAAAUAAUUUUAUGACUAUGACACAGAUGGACAGCUUGAAUAUUCAUAAAAGUAAACAAUAAAAAUUAUAGAUGAUGUUACUUACAAGUGUGUUAUAUACAUUAAGGAUGUGGAAUGGAGAGGAGGAGAAGGAAAAAUAUAUAUGAAUAUCCAGCUUGCAUGGCUAAUUUGCAUAUUUUAGGCUUAAAGACUAAAUUGAAUAAAAGUAAAACUUCAGGGGCAAUUUUGUAAAAAUGUCAAAAUAAUCAAAUUGAAGGGAAUGAAUUUUUUUAUUAUCUAAAUUAAUAAAUUGAAUGAAAUUUUCAAUUUAAUAUCGGGUGAAAAUUGAGAAAAUGGUAAAUUACCAAAAUGUCCCUAAAUCUUGAUAUUUCUACAAUUUCGCUAGGUAAGUUUAUGUAACUUGAAUUAUAUUCUUAAAUGCUUGAGAUUGUAUGUUAUUGAUGUGAAUAUGAUUUGAAUGUUCAUUAUAUGAAAAUUGAUGAAACAUUGAUAUAUUUGAUAAAAUGGGAAGAAAUCCCGGUUGAAUGAAAGGAAAAUUUCGAUGGAUCUCUGAAAAGGAAUUGGUGGUAAAAAGGAUCUAGCCCGGACGGGUGAUCCUAUCCUGAUAUAGCCCUCCCGAAGAAUAUGUGUAAAAUGGAUUUAGCCCGGAUGGGUAAUCCGAAUUAGGGUCUGAAUUUAGCCUGGACUGGUAAUUCAGAUCCAAGCUCAUUAGAGUAAUUGUCGUUGCAGGGGAUUUAGCUUGGACUGGUAAUCCCGACAAUACUCUAUGAGUUUAUAUUGCAGGGGAUUUAGCCUAGACUGGUAAUCCCGCUGUAAGGAUGAGGUUCGCGGGAGUGUGCUCUCUGAUAUGAAAUGUGUAAGACCAUGGUUGAAAGAUACGAUGGCAACCUGAUAUGAAAUGUGUAAGACCAUGGUUGAAAGAUACCAUGGCAACCUAAUAUGAAAUGUUUAAGACCAUGGUUGAAAGAUACCAUGGCAGCCUGAUAUGAAAUGUGUAAGACCAUGGUUGAAAGAUACCAUGGCAGCGUGACAUGAAAUGAACAAGACCAUGGUUGAAAGAUACCAUGGCAACAUGACAGAAAAUGAGUAAGACCAUAGUUGAAAGAUACUAUGGCAUCUUGUCAAAGAUAAAUAAGACCGUGGAAGAGAGACGCCAAGAUAUCUGUUGAACAACUAAUAUUCAGGUAAUAUGUACCAGAUGACAAAUAGUUAUAUGAAUUGGUUGUACAAAAUGGUUGUGUGAAAUGUUUACAGGAAUUGGUCAUAUGGAAAUAUAUGUACAAAAUAGUUGUAUGAAAUAAUUAAGAAGAUAGAUAAAUGAAAUAAGUAUAGAUACAUGGAAUUUAAUUUAUGUUAAGUUUAAUACGAACUAUUACCAAAGUAAAUAUACAUAAGAUAUAAGGAAAUGAUGAUGCAUGAAAUAUUGAUAUAACGAAAUGAAUGAUAUAUGCUUAUGAAGAAAUAGUAAGAGAAUAAUAUAUUUUGUGACAUGUACAUAUAUAAUUAUCUUUGAUAUGUUGAUAUAAGGAAAUUAUGUAAGUUGAGACUAUUAUUGAACUUAAGUGUGAUAUGUUGAGAAAAUAGGUACAUCAUUGUUGAAUUUAUAUGAAGUAUGUGCAAGUAUACUAACAAUGUUGUUGUAUGAUGCUUAGACAAGUGCUAAGCUAUUGAUUGAAUGGUAACAUGUUUAAUUAUAAGGAGCAUUGAAAUGGUAAGUACUUAGAUGAAAAUAUAAUUUAAGAUUUUGCGAAUUUUUUUUUUUGAUCCCGAUUCAAUUUCGGUUGGUUUUUAAUGUAUGUUUGGGGCUUCGAAGGCCCAAUAGAGAAACGUUAUGGUUAUUUUCAAAAUAUGAAUAAUAAAUGACUCAAAAUUAUCUGAAAAUAUUUAGUAAACUCCGGUAAUGCCUCGUACCCUAUUCCGGCAAUGGAUACGGGUUGGGGGUGUUACAAGAAGGCCCAACCGUCCAUAGAGGUUCCCAAAUCAGCCACCCAAUAUUUGGUAAAAUAUCUAAAAGUAGCCACAAAAAUUCUACAUGUGACCGUUCAAUUCCCCUCCUCAUUUCAAGUUUCUCUCCCAUGAAUCAAGCAUGAAACUAGCUAAAAAUAGCAAAGUCAUCCACCCUCUUUCCUUGAAGCAAGGGUCGACCAUAGGGAGAGAGAAUUUCAAAGAUCUCAUUUGCUAAAAAUAGCCAACCUCUUCAAUUAUAAAUACCCCCUAGCUAGUCACUCAUUACAUUCAUCCCUCACUCACCAUCUCUUCUCCCAUUUUCUUUCGUUUCACUUCCCAUUUUCUAGUCAUCAAUUCCCUCUUGAAAUAGUGUUUGCAAGGCUUUGAGAGCAACCACGUUUGGCCAUAUGAAAAGCUUCUGAGCUUGGUAGUCAUGACAAGAAGAGAAGAACGAAGGAGGAGCAAAGUGAGUUGUGCCACGGAAAUACACCAGAAACGACUUAGCA
RNAcentral lists this long non-coding RNA (3646 nucleotides) under Gossypium barbadense (sea-island cotton). Its description in RNAcentral is "long non-coding RNA (GBAR_LNC002888)". The record is from RNAcentral. Lineage: Eukaryota; Viridiplantae; Streptophyta; Magnoliopsida; Malvales; Malvaceae.